GAACUUAAGCAUAUCAAUAAGCGGAGGAAAAGAAACUAACAAGGAUUCCCCUAGUAACUGCGAGUGAAGCGGGAAAAGCUCAAAUUUAAAAUCUGGCGGUCCCUGUGGCCGUCCGAGUUGUAAUUUAGAGAAGCGUUAUCCGCGCUGGACCGUGUACAAGUCUCCUGGAAUGGAGCGUCAUAGAGGGUGAGAAUCCCGUCUUUGACACGGACUGCCAGGGCAUUGUGAUGCGCUCUCGAAGAGUCGAGUUGUUUGGGAAUGCAGCUCAAAAUGGGUGGUAAAUUCCAUCUAAAGCUAAAUAUUGGGGAGAGACCGAUAGCGAACAAGUACCGUGAGGGAAAGAUGAAAAGAACUUUGGAAAGAGAGUUAAACAGUACGUGAAAUUGCUGAAAGGGAAACGCUUGAAGUCAGUCGCGUCGCUCAGGACUCAGCCUUGCUUUUUUGCUUGGUGUACUUCCUGUUCGACGGGUCAGCAUCAAUUUUGGUCGGUGGAUAAAGGCUCAGAGAAUGUGGCAUCUUCGGGUGUGUUAUAGCUCUGGGUCGCAUGCAUCGGCUGGGAUUGAGGAACUCAGCACGCCGCAAGGCCGGGCACUUGUGCCACGUACGUGCUUAGGAUGCUGGCAUAAUGGCUUUAAUCGACCCGUCUUGAAACACGGACCAAGGAGUCUAACAUGCCUGCGAGUGUUUGGGUGGUAAACCCGAGCGCGUAAUGAAAGUGAAAGUUGAGAUCCCUGUCGCGGGGAGCAUCGACGCCCGGAGCAGACCUUCUGUGACGCAUCCGCGGUAGAGCAUGUAUGUUGGGACCCGAAA
Molecule: ribosomal RNA, 810 nt
Filed under: uncultured fungus
Lineage: Eukaryota; Fungi
Description: eukaryotic LSU rRNA
Rfam family: Eukaryotic large subunit ribosomal RNA
Source: RNAcentral